RNAcentral lists this ribosomal RNA (508 nucleotides) under uncultured bacterium. RNAcentral's name for it is "partial 16S ribosomal RNA". It matches the Rfam family "Bacterial small subunit ribosomal RNA", at positions 28 to 507 of the family's 1533-position model. The record is from RNAcentral.
GACGAACGCUGGCGGCGUGCCUAAUACAUGCAAGUCGAACGCUUCUUUCCUCCCGAGUGCUUGCACUCAAUUGGAAAGAGGAGUGGCGGACGGGUGAGUAACACGUGGGUAACCUACCCAUCAGGGGGGGAUAACACUUGGAAACAGGUGCUAAUACCGCAUAACAGUUUAUGCCGCAUGGCAUAAGAGUGAAAGGCGCUUUCGGGUGUCGCUGAUGGAUGGACCCGCGGUGCAUUAGCUAGUUGGUGAGGUAACGGCUCACCAAGGCCACGAUGCAUAGCCGACCUGAGAGGGUGAUCGGCCACACUGGGACUGAGACACGGCCCAGACUCCUACGGGAGGCAGCAGUAGGGAAUCUUCGGCAAUGGACGAAAGUCUGACCGAGCAACGCCGCGUGAGUGAAGAAGGUUUUCGGAUCGUAAAACUCUGUUGUUAGAGAAGAACAAGGACGUUAGUAACUGAACGUCCCCUGACGGUAUCUAACCAGAAAGCCACGGCUAACUACGUG